Long non-coding RNA from Salvia splendens (bonfire salvia), 528 nucleotides. RefSeq lists it as uncharacterized. The transcript has 5 exons. NCBI's taxonomy places the organism in Eukaryota, Viridiplantae, Streptophyta, Magnoliopsida, Lamiales, Lamiaceae. The record is from RefSeq and is a predicted model, not a curated record.
UACAAAAACUCAUUCUUAUGCAGUUAAAAGGUUCAAGUUUGUGGUGAAUGUUGUUGAUCAUACCAGCAAUGCAUCUUUGUUAUUGUGGGAUAGGGAAGGCAGCCAACUUUUAGGGAGAAGUGUGACAGAUUUUUUAGGAAAUGGUGGUCAGGUUGCUCCUAAGAAUUCCAUUCCUGCACUUAUUGAAGAGAUUCUUGUGGGUCAGAAUGUCCUAUUUAAACUUCAGUUGAAAAAUCAUAUUGAGUAUUACAGAAGUUACCCAUUUACUGUGAACAAAGUUUGUAAUCUCCCUGAAGUAGUUGACAAGUAUACACCUAAAGACUUGGGUGAACAGAUUUUUAAAUUUGAUACCAAGUUAUCUGAUCUACUUUUUGGAGCUGAUCUUGCUGAGGUUUCUCAAAAGCCUUAUGCUACAACUGAUCUGUCCAGCCUUGGUAAUGAGAAUAUCAGUGACUUAUUUGUUGAAGGAUCUGAAUUAAAUGUUGGAGUUGUUGUUGCUGAGGGUUCUCAGAAAGUGUUUGAUACACC